RNAcentral lists this ribosomal RNA (368 nucleotides) under Naubates harrisoni. Its description in RNAcentral is "partial 12S ribosomal RNA". The record is from RNAcentral. Lineage: Eukaryota; Metazoa; Arthropoda; Insecta; Psocodea; Philopteridae.
AAGUAAAAAAUUUAAUUGUAUAGAGUAGAGGUUCGUGAUCUUGAAAAAUAAAAUUACAUGGCGGCCUAUCAACUACAUAGAGAUACAUGCUUUUUAAUGGAUAAUACACAAAAAUCUUACCUAAUUUUGUUAUUACAUUUGGUACACCGCCGUCGGAAGAAGAGUUUAUUAAGACUGUUCUAUAACCUUUUAAUCAAGGUAUAAGUCAGGCCAAGGCACUGAUUAUUAUUAGGUUAAAGUGUGUUUCAUUAAUAUUAUUAUGUCUCAAAAUUCCAUUAAAUAUGGAAAUUGAACAAUUGAAUCAAGGUAAUAGAAUUUAUAAGUAAGUUUUAUUUAUAAAAUAAAAUUGAAUAGCGAAAUGAUUAGGC